CCUACGGGUGGCAGCAGUGGGGAAUAUUGCACAAUGGGGGAAACCCUGAUGCAGCGACGCCGCGGGAGGGAAGAAGGAGUUCGGUAUGUAAAGCUCUAACAGCAGGGAAGAAAAUGACGGUACCUGAGUAAGAAGCCCCGGCUAACUACGUGCCAGCAGCCGCGGUAAUACGUAGGGGGCAAGCGUUAUCCGGAUUUACUGGGUGUAAAGGGAGCGUAGACGGCAGCACAAGUCUGGAGUGAAAUGCCGGGGCUUAACCCCGGAACUGCUUUGGAAACUGUGCAGCUAGAGUGCAGGAGAGGUAAGUGGAAUUCCUAGUGUAGCGGUGAAAUGCGUAGAUAUUAGGAGGAACCCCAGUGGCGAAGGCGGCUUACUGGACUGUAACUGACGUUGAGGCUCGAAAGCGUGGGGAGCAAACAGGAUUAGAUACCCCUGUAGUC
RNAcentral lists this ribosomal RNA (440 nucleotides) under uncultured bacterium. RNAcentral describes it as "partial 16S ribosomal RNA". It matches the Rfam family "Bacterial small subunit ribosomal RNA", at positions 338 to 795 of the family's 1533-position model. The record is from RNAcentral.